This 7695-nucleotide long non-coding RNA is filed under the name Vitis vinifera (wine grape). Its description in RNAcentral is "long non-coding RNA (VVIN_LNC002571)". Lineage: Eukaryota; Viridiplantae; Streptophyta; Magnoliopsida; Vitales; Vitaceae. The record is from RNAcentral.
AUAUCUCAAUGUUUGAACGUUAUUGACUUGUAACAAGGAUUUUAUAGCCCUAUGAUAUUGUUUUCUUUGCUUGUAGAUUGGUAUUGUUUUAAAGAAGAUGUUUGAAGAUGGCAUAGUGAAGCGUGAGGAUCUGUGGAUUACCUCCAAGCUCUGGUUUGUCUCAGUUUGAUUUUGGCUUGAUUGAAAAUAUUAACAUUAUAGCAACAAUAGCUAUCUGUUACUCUUUAUCUUAAGAUGCUGCUGUUGCAGUGCUGCUUGUACUAUCUACUAAUUCAUUUUCCUUUUCUAGAGUAAACUGGUCUCUUGCAGUUCUUAGCUUCUACCAUUUACAACUUAAAUUAUUUGCAGGUGUACUGAUCAUGGACCAGAAGAUGUGCCAGAGGCACUAAACAGAACAUUGCGAGACUUGCAGCUCGACUACAUUGAUUUAUAUCUUGUAUGUGUUGCCUUAGUUAUUUGUUAAAAGUAACUAGAAGAAUGUGUCAUCCAAUAAAUAUUGCAGGUCUUUGGACCCUAUCAAAGUUCUGUGAAGUUUGCAGAAAGAAAAGGUCAAAACUGAUGAAAGGCAUUCCUCAGAAGAUGGACUCUUGUUAAUGCCAUAUUUAGAUCUUUGAGUGAAAUUUGCAAUAUGGCCAAAUCUUUGAGUCCCUUGAUUCUGCAACCUUGUCUGUAUCUUAGGAACUUAGAAAUUGAACCGUACUUUGAAUAAUUGAUAAUCUGCAUUUUAAUUUAGAUUGCAUUAUUCAGGAGAUUAUUUGAUUGUAACUAAAUGCGGCUGAUUCUUGUAGAUCCAUUGGCCGGUCCGUAUGAAAAAGGGUUCUGUUGGCUUCAAACCUGAAAACCUCACCCAACCAGAUAUACCAAGCACAUGGAGAGCAAUGGAAGCACUCUGUGAUUCUGGCAAGGCUCGAGCUAUUGGUGUAAGCAAUUUCUCCACAAAGAAACUGGGGGACCUGUUGGAGAUUGCACGUGUUCCUCCAGCUGUCGACCAAGUGGAGUGUCAUCCUUCAUGGGACCAGAGAAAACUGCGUGCCUUUUGCAAAUCCAGGGGGGUUCACCUAAGUGUAAGUAGUCAAUCCUUAAUUUACUUUGAAAUUUGGGUUAGCUCCUUAUAUUGUUGAAGAGCAUAUCUUAAUUUACUCAUUAUUUUGAUUCAGCUAUGCGCGCGCAUCUAGAACUAUAAUAAUUUUUUUCUUUAAUUUUGAUUUGCAUGUAUCUUUCAGGGGUAUUCACCAUUGGGUUCUCCAGGUACAACAUGGCUCAAAAGUGACGUCCUUAAGCAUCCAGUUCUGAAAACGGUUGCAGAGAAAUUGGGCAAAUCUCCUGCACAGGUUGCUCUUCGCUGGGGCCUGCAAAUGGGUCAGAGCGUGCUUCCCAAGAGUACACAUGAAUCAAGGAUCAAGGAGAAUUUUGAUGUGUUUGGGUGGUCUAUACCUGAAGACCUGUUUGCUAAGUUUUCUGACAUUGAGCAGGCAAGUAGUUCUUUUCCUCAUUGCCUCUGUCGAUUCCCCCUAUGAUCAUGGCUCCUAGUAAUUGUUUAAUAGUGGGCCGCUAUAUUGCCAUUGUAACUGCCAGUAGCAUUAUGCACCUAGCACCAAUAAAUUAGAGUUAAAACAGCAGAAAGAUUGCGAAUGUCAGUUAUACUCUAUUAUUUCCUGUUGCAUAUGAAGCUUUUUACUGAUUCCUUUAGCGACUGGAUGAUUGGAUGGUGUAUGUGAUGAUAUACAAGUGUAGGAUCAUUUGAGAGGCACAGGAUCUUGUGCCAGAUACUCUUCUCCUGACCUUUUCUAAUAAUAAAAAUAUUUUGGUUUUUAACUGUGCAGGCAAGACUUCUCAGAGGAAGCUCAUUUGCCCAUGAGACCUUGGGCCACUACAAGACUGUUGAGGAACUUUGGGAUGGUGAGCUCUGAUCAGACAAUUUAGUGAAUAUUUGCAGUGACGGGUUGCGCUUUUUGAUAGGGAGAGGUGUGUGGGUUAGUGUCCCUCUCAUAUCAGCAACGUUUACUUGAUUGGUACUCUGGACUGUUUAGUUUCAGUGAGACGUGAUAAUAAAACAAUGCUUUUGAUUUCCAUAGAAAGUUGGAAGUAUAGAAAGCAAUGGUACAUGCUCCAAAAUUGAGAAAAAGAAAAUGUUUCAAUGCUAUGCAAUCCAAAAUUUUUAGGCUGAAUAAUUCAAGAAAUUAUGUAGAUGUUAGUGAAACUGAACUAAAAAGACAAUAAGUAGAUUCAGUCGUUAGGAUUAUCAACUCAGAGAGCAUAAAAUAUUCCAAAUAAUGGCUAGUUAUUGUGAAUUCAGUUUAGGUGAAUUGCUAAUUAAAUCAGGUUCAGCUUGAAUUGGGCGUAAGGUGUCGUCCAGUUCAGCUUGCCACCAUUCCCUCCUAAUAAAAGAGGAAAAUUAACUUGAGCGUAAUUUUGAUAGCAGUUGCAUUUUUCGACUCGGUAAACCAAAAUGCAUUAUAUUUUUAUAUUUCAAAUUUUAUAUAUAUCAUCAUCUGUGGCACUCCUGUGGAUUUGGAAAACACCACAUCCCCAUCCCCAACCCCACCUCUUUCUUUUUUCCUUUUUGGGCUCCAUCUUAAUCGCUUGAAUGGUUGACCACUGCCUAUUCAGUAACAAGGACUCGGAUAAGGUGAGUUCUCAAGGAAUUUUGUGUGUAUUUAUUUAGGUGUAUGUAACAAGAUACACAAAAGCAGCAUGAUCAAGGGGCAAUAAAUAAAUAGGGGAAAAAGGAUUUGACAUGGGUUAUGUUUGGUUCAAUCAGUGAAAUUGUGCUUGAAGCUGCUUUUGGAUGAACCUUUUGCAAAUCAAGUUUCCAAAUUAGUAUUUUCCUUAGUAAUGUUAUAUGGCUGACAUUAUAUUUAAAUAAAUGAGAGAAUGUUAUGAGUAGUAUUUAGAUUCUAAUUUGGAAAUAUUUAUACUAAAAGAAGUGUUUCUCGAUUUAUUGUCUCCUAAAGUGUUCUUAUCAUCACAUUUAUAUGCAUUUUACAUCCUAUCAUUAUUUUAUUUUUUAUUUUGUUUAAUUAAUCUCUUUAUUAUUUUAUGUUUUAUUUAAUUAAUCUUUUUUUAAGAACCUAAAAAUCGAUUUAAAUAGUAUUUCUCUUUUAAAAAACUAAUUAAAAUAAUUUUAACAUGAAAAUUUAAAUAUAAUUACCAAAAGUUUUAGAAAAAAAACAUAGAUGAUUAAAUACAUAUAUUAGUAUGAUACAUUUUUUCCUCUCUAAUAAUAUUUUAGUUCUAAUUAUUUAAUUAUUCUAUUCAACAAUAAAUUAUUUAGAUAAAUAUUAGUUUAUUUAACUUCUUAAAAACAUAAAAAUAAAUACAAAUAUUAAUUUUUUUAAUUAAAUUGUUUUUGAAUCCAAAUUUAAAACAAAAAGCCUCUUUAAUAUAUACUCAAUUCUCCAAUAAUAAUAAUAAUAAUAAUAAUAAUAGUUUUCAUUCUUCAUUUAUUCAAUAAAAAAUAAGUGUAAAUUAUGUUUCUCCUUUCAAUAUGAAUAGUUAAAUGUUAUUAUCAAAUUUCAUAAUAAAAAUUUAGGUAAUGCUUUAAAAAAAAAAAUCAUAAUUUAAUAAUAUUUUUAUUAUAUUACUUAUAUCUACCUUAAUUUAUUCUAAUUAUAUAAGAAAUUCAUGCAUAUAUCUAUUUUCUCAUUGACAAUAACUUUUUCAUUUAUAACCUAUAAUGACCUUUCAAUUCAUAUUGGUUCCUUCAUGUCAAGCUUUAUCAUUUUUUGGACUAUUAUUUUUAUUAAAACAUGAUUGUUAAAACUAUUUAUUCGAUUCAAACAAAAUUUAUGAGUUAUUAAAUGUUUAAUUCUAUAUACACUCAAUAAAUAUAAAUAAAAGAAUAUUUUAUAAGAACAAUAGAAAUGGAAGCAAACUUACAAAAAGUCCAAUGCCUCCCCAUUAUACAAAUUCAUCCAUACUUAACCAACAAAAUAUCAAGUGGAAUGAGCUUAUACAAAAUAAAAAUAUACAAAGUCCAAAACAAAUAUUCAAAUCUAAAUUAAAUAAACUCAAAAAUAAACUUCAAAUUAAUCUAAUUAAAUUUAGUUCAAAUUAACAAAUAUAACUCACCUAAAAUAUCUCACAUUUUACCAAUUUGAUAUCAAGUAAAAAAAAAAAAAAAUACAAGCCUAAAAUCCGAUAACAAUAAUAAUACAAAAAAAAAAAAAAACCAACCUACACCCAAUCAAACGUUCCAAUAGUUCAAUAGUUUGGUCCUAAAUUAAUAAAUAAAUCCAAAUUGAAUUCCACACAAACAAAAUCAAUUACUUUACGAACCAAAAUAAAAAAUAAAAAUAAAACGAAAAUAAAAUAAAGUAAAAGGGAAAUAGCCGGAGUUGCUAGUCGGCGGUGGCCGGCGGUGUGGAGUUGAGGGAGGAAGAAAGAAGAAAAAAAAUAAUAAAAUGAAUAAUAAAAAGGGAAAAUGAGUGAGGUGAGAAAGCGAAGGCAGGGAAGAAUGAGAGAGGGGAAGGGGGGUCGCCGGCCGGCAGUGGUUCGCCAGCGGCAACUGGCCAGCCGUGUUGGAGAUGUCGGUGGAGUGGGCUAGGUUGGGGAGGAAGGAGCGAAUAAAAAUAAAAAUAAAAAAAGUGGGGGAAGAAGGAAGAAAAAAAAAAAAAAGAGAGAAAAAUGGGAAAGAAAGAGAGAGGAGAGGGGGGGGGAAGAAAAAAAAGAAGGGGAGAAAAUGGGGAGGAAAGAGGGUAGUAUUAUAUCAAAAAUUAAGGGUAGUAUUAAAAAAAAUAAAAAUACUUUUUAAUAAGUUUUUAAUUCAUAUCUCUUAUCAAACACUAGUUGCCCAAGUGCUACCCUUACGUAUAUUAACUAUUAAGGGUAGUAUUAUAACUUCCAUAAAUUGAGUAAUGGAUUUUUUUCUACAAAAUAUUAUAAUGAUACCGAGAAUGUUAAAUUGUAAAAUAUAUAUUACUAAAUUACCAAAAUAGGUUCAACUUGCUUUCUAAAAUUAAAACUGCUUUAAAUUUGAUAAAAAUUUGAGUACCUUUAAUAAAAUUAGUGUAGCAAUUUAAAAAUGAAAUUUUCCUACCAAUGAUAAAUAUAUAUAUAUUUAAAAUUUUAAAAUUAGAUUUUUAAUUACCUUUUUAAUUCAUGCUGCCGUACAUAUUAUCUUUAAAACCUCUUUUACAUAAAUAAAAAAUAAAAAAUAAAUUAAAUAAUUAUAAUAUAUGAGUUGGUGCAAGAUAAUUAUUUUUAGUGAAAAAGGAAAAAAAAGGGAGUUUACGCUUAAAAGGCAAAAGGAUUGAGGUGCGGUUUCGUUAUCUUUUGAAACAGAAAAAGAUAGAUGUCCACGUAAGAUUCGAUAUUAUCUUCAAAUCCAAUGUGGAUUUUUUUAAAAUAAAAAUAUUUUGGUUCGAUUUUUGUGGCCACAAAAUGUAACGUUAAGACAGCAAGAGCAAGAUGCGACAGGAGAGGAGCUUCUGACACUCUUACCUUCUUUUUUUUUUCACAUCUUUGGAGUCUGUAGAGUAGUCCAUCUUCAGAUCAUCUGGAAAUGUCGGACGACAUCCGGUUCUUUCAACUCAACACUGGAGCUAAGAUGCCUUCGGUAGGGUUGGGUACGUGGCAGUCAGAUCCAGGUCUUGUCGGCCAGGCUGUAGCCAUCGCCAUCAAGGUCUCUCUUCUUCUUCUUUAUGACUUCUUGCUCUAUGGUUACAAGAACUUUUGGAAUUCUUGGGAUCUGGAUUUGUGAUUGAGUUUUGCUGAGGCUAAAAUCAUCUUGAAACGUAAAAAGAGCGCGUCAGUAUUUUUUUUAGAACAAUUGGGAUCCAUCAGCGCGUGAGUAGUUUGAGAGGCAAGAUGCAUAUGUUUUGAUAAUACCAUGCACCUAUUCCAAUCUUUUGAAUGUUUGUUAAAAGUGUGUUUUGGUAGUAUGGAAAUGCUCUUCAAGGAACUGCUGGUAUCUAGUGUUUGCGGUAGAAGAAUAGCGUUUGUGUUGAUACCACAGUCUGUUCUUUUACCAGAUUGGAGAUGAAGUUGUUGGUUCGAUGCCUUUUUGAACCUUUUUGAACUAAAUUUUCUGCAAGCACAAAUGUCAUGUCUGCUUUUAGAACUAGAUACAGUCUACUUUUGGUUGGAUGCUUCUUUUCCUUCCAGGAUAAAAUCUCUUUCCAAUGCGCUUCUGCAUUCAACUCAUGGACGAUCAUGUACCCAAAAGUGGUGGAGCUUCUCUGAUUAAUUGAUAGGAGAUCAACACUUGAGAACAAAACUAGGGGUCUUCUUUGUAUUGUGAUUUCAUCUUCUUUAAUGAGGGGAAUCACCCUCUUGAAAGUAAUCUUUGUGAAGCUACUUCUCCCAUGCAUAUUUAAAAUUAAUCAGAGAAGCCACUUCUCAUCAACUCUUUCCUCCACUGUGUCUCUCUCAUCAGUCUUUUACAGUUUACCUAAUUUCAACGAGUGUAAAUACAUUAACUUUUGUAGUUCAGAGAAGUACGUUUUGUUGAAUAAUCUUAAUAUUCAAAAUACAGAUUCUGUAAUAACUUUGGAGUCCAAAAAUUCAGGAAAAAUCAUUUAAAGCGCUUCAAAUUAUUGUGCAUUAAGUCUUCAAUUUUACCCACCGCCAACUUAUUCUAAACAAAAAGGAGAGACUUCUCUUAGAUAUGAAAAUGAUUAUCUAGUGUUUUAAUGAUGCAUACUCAAGCAUAUUUAUUCCUGGUCUCUACAGGUUGGAUACCGCCAUAUCGAUUGUGCUCAAGUCUACGGCAAUGAGGAGGAGGUAAUUACUGCAAAUAUGCUGAACUGAUUUUGAUAUUCUGUGUUAUCAUCUUCAUCAUUGUAACUGUUGUCUGUAUAUAUCUUGUACAAUAUUGUAGGUUAAAUCAUUUUAAGCAAUUGAUUUUUCCUUCUGAUACUAAUCUGGGUAUAUUUCUUCGAUGUUCAAAGUUGAUUGGUUCUAUUAACUAAAAUCAUUCAACUGCUGUUCCCCAUUGUCUUUGAUGAUCACCGACACCCCUAUAACCACUUUACCACUUCAUAUGGCUUCUGCUACUUUCUAUGUCCCUUUCUAUUUGGGUGGUGGAUCCAACAUAAUGAAAAUCACUAUUUUGGAUCUCUGCUGGCCAUCAUUCUUCACUGUUUUUUGUUUCUAUUCUUGAGUUUACUCAAUUGCACUUUACAUAUUCAUUGAUUCUCCUGGUUUUGAUUCUGAAGUUUAUACCUGACAUAGGAAAAUUAUGAGGUAAACAAGUAACAUAAACCAUGGGACCUUUUUUUGCUUAUGCCUAGUCAAUUCAAUCAUAGCCCAAACAUAGGCUAUGGCCAUAGGGACACGAUCCCAACCCUCGACAUAAAUUGAACUUGCUAAUUCACAAAUGAUCAGUGGUCUCUGCACUGUUCAUUAUUCUGAUGUCUCAGUGUUUGAAAGUUAAUGACUUGUAACAAGGAUUUUAUAGCACUAUGAUAUUGUUUUCUUUUCUUCUAGAUCGGUAUUGUUUUAAAGAAGCUGUUUGAUGAUGGCGUAGUGAAGCGUGAGGAUUUGUGGAUUACCUCCAAGCUCUGGUUUGUCUCAGUUUGAUUUUGGCUUUCAUUGAAAAUAUUAACAUUAUAGCAACAAUAUAGCUAUCUGUUUCUCUUUAUCUUAAGAUGCUGCUGUUGCAGUGCUGUUUGUACUAUCCACUAGCUGAUUCAUUUUCCUUUUCUAGAGUAAACUGGUCUCUUGCAGUUCUUAGCUUCUACCAUUCACAACUUA